Molecule: ribosomal RNA, 503 nt
Filed under: uncultured bacterium
Lineage: Bacteria
Description: partial 16S ribosomal RNA
Rfam family: Bacterial small subunit ribosomal RNA
Source: RNAcentral
AUUGAACGCUGGCGGCAGGCUUAACACAUGCAAGUCGAGCGGGGUGAUGGUGCUUGCACUAUCACUUAGCGGCGGACGGGUGAGUAAUGCUUAGGAAUCUGCCUAUUAGUGGGGGACAACACCUCGAAAGGGAUGCUAAUCCCGCAUACGUCCUACGGGAGAAAGCAGGGGAUCACUUGUAACUCAGCGCUAAUAAAUGAGCCUAAGUCGGGUUAGCUAGUUGGUGGGGUAAAGGCCUACCAAGGCGACGAUCUGUAGCGGGUCUGAGAGGAUGAUCCGCCACACUGGGACUGAGACACGGCCCAGACUCCUACGAGAGGCAGCAGUGGGGAAUAUUGGACAAUGGGGGGAACCCUGAUCCAGCCAUGCCGCGUGUGUGAAGAAGGCCUUAUGGUUGUAAAGCACUUUAAGCGAGGAGGAGGCUCUUUUGGUUAAUACCCAAGAUGAGUGGACGUUACUCGCAGAAUAAGCACCGGCUAACUCUGUGCCAGCCGCCGCGGUAA